Molecule: ribosomal RNA, 120 nt
Filed under: uncultured bacterium
Lineage: Bacteria
Description: partial 16S ribosomal RNA
Rfam family: Bacterial small subunit ribosomal RNA
Source: RNAcentral
AACGAACGUUAGCGGUGUGGAUUAGGCAUGCAAGUCGAGCGUGAAAGUCUUCGGACGAGUAAAGCGGCGAAAGGGUGAGUAAUACGUAGUCAAUCUAUCCUCGAGACCGGGAUAACCACU